CAGCAGCCGCGGUAAUACGGAGGGGGCUAGCGUUGUUCGGAAUUACUGGGCGUAAAGCGCACGUAGGCGGCUUGGUAAGUUAGAGGUGAAAGCCUGGAGCUCAACUCCAGAAUUGCCUUUAAGACUGCCGAGCUAGCAGGUGAGAGAGGGAAGUGGAAUUCCGAGUGUAGAGGUGAAAUUCGUAGAUAUUCGGAAGAACACCAGUGGCGAAGGCGGCUUACUGGCUCAUACUGGACGCUGAGGUGCGAAAGCGUGGGGAGCAAACAGGAUUAGAUACCCCUGUAGUCCCUGUCUCUUAUAC
This 301-nucleotide ribosomal RNA is filed under the name uncultured bacterium. RNAcentral describes it as "partial 16S ribosomal RNA". It matches the Rfam family "Bacterial small subunit ribosomal RNA", at positions 509 to 807 of the family's 1533-position model. The record is from RNAcentral.